Molecule: unclassified non-coding RNA, 424 nt
Filed under: Hevea brasiliensis (rubber tree)
Lineage: Eukaryota; Viridiplantae; Streptophyta; Magnoliopsida; Malpighiales; Euphorbiaceae
Source: RNAcentral
GAGAGAGAGAGAGAGAGACCAUUUAUAUGCUUAUUUUGAUAGAGCUAUAUAAUUGACAUAGAAGAACCUUACUCUAACGGAUCAAGCUCGCACAACUGUGUUUUGGCAAAGAAAAAAGAUGAUCGGAGGAUUGAAAUAGUUGUCUUGUUGAGGAUUAUUUACAAUUAUGGUAGUCUACAACUCUACAUAACGUGAAAAGUGAUUAAUGAAGGCCUUAUCUUAAAAAUAUUCACAGGCUUAAUUAAAAGAAGAUUUAUUGAGAGGAGGAUUUCUAUUGGAAUAGCAAAUGUAUGAGAUUGAAUGCUAUUAUCGGUUACUUUUCAAGAAAACAACAACUAAAACAUAUAUCAUUAAAAUAAAGAUCAAUUCAUCAGUGAAUGCAAAAUCUACCAAGAAAUAAAGUCAUUUAAUCUACACUCAAAAC